RNAcentral lists this ribosomal RNA (271 nucleotides) under uncultured Oscillospiraceae bacterium. RNAcentral describes it as "partial 16S ribosomal RNA". It matches the Rfam family "Bacterial small subunit ribosomal RNA", at positions 72 to 339 of the family's 1533-position model. Lineage: Bacteria; Bacillati; Bacillota; Clostridia; Eubacteriales; Oscillospiraceae. The record is from RNAcentral.
AAAAAAGCUUGCUUUGAUCAUCUUAGUGGCGGACGGGUGAGUAACACGUGAGCAACCUGCCUUUCAGAGGGGGAUAACGUUUGGAAACGAACGCUAAUACCGCAUAACGUAUACGAAUGGCAUCGUCUGUAUACCAAAGGAGCAAUCCGCUGAAAGAUGGGCUCGCGUCCGAUUAGCUAGAUGGUGAGGUAACGGCCCACCAUGGCGACGAUCGGUAGCCGGACUGAGAGGUUGACCGGCCACAUUGGGACUGAGACACGGCCCAGACUCC